GACGAACGCUGGCGGCGUGCCUAAUACAUGCAAGUAGAACGCUGAAGGAGUAGCUUGCUUCUCUGGAUGAGUUGCGAACGGGUGAGUAACGCGUAGGUAACCUGCCUUGUAGCGGGGGAUAACUAUUGGAAACGAUAGCUAAUACCGCAUAAGAGUAGAUGUUGCAUGACAUUUGCUUAAAAGGUGCAAUUGCAUCACUACCAGAUGGACCUGCGUUGUAUUAGCUUGUUGGUGGGGUAACGGCUCACCAAGGCGACGAUACAUAGCCGACCUGAGAGGGUGAUCCGCCAACAUGGGAACGGGACAAGGGCCAGAAUCCUAAGGGGGGCAGCAGGAGGGAAUCAUCGGCAAUGGACGGAAGUCUGACCGAGGAACGACGGGUGAGGGAAGAAGGUUUUCGGAUCGUAAAGGUCUGUUGUAAGAGAAGAAAGAGUGUGAGAGUGGAAAGUUCACACUGUGACGGUAUCUUACGAGAAAGGGACGGCUAACUACGUG
RNAcentral lists this ribosomal RNA (495 nucleotides) under uncultured bacterium. Its description in RNAcentral is "partial 16S ribosomal RNA". It matches the Rfam family "Bacterial small subunit ribosomal RNA", at positions 28 to 507 of the family's 1533-position model. The record is from RNAcentral.